This 421-nucleotide ribosomal RNA is filed under the name Fusobacteriota bacterium. Its description in RNAcentral is "Fusobacteria bacterium partial 16S ribosomal RNA". It matches the Rfam family "Bacterial small subunit ribosomal RNA", at positions 355 to 776 of the family's 1533-position model. Lineage: Bacteria; Fusobacteriati; Fusobacteriota. The record is from RNAcentral.
UGGGGAAUAUUGCACAAUGGACGGAAGUUUGAUGCAGCGACGCCGCGGGGAGGGUGUAGGCCUUCGGGUUGUGAACUCCUUUUUCUCGCGAAAAAGGCACAGUUUUGGCUGUGUUGAUGGUAGUGGGGGAAGAAGCGCCGGCUAACUCCGUGCCAGCAGCCGCGGUAAUACGGAGGGUGCAAGCGUUAAUCGGAAUUACUGGGCGUAAAGCGCACGCAGGCGGUUUGUUAAGUCAGAUGUGAAAUCCCCGGGCUCAACCUGGGAACUGCAUCUGAUACUGGCAAGCUUGAGUCUCGUAGAGGGGGGUAGAAUUCCAGGUUUAGCGGUGAAAUGCGUAGAGAUCUGGAGGAAUACCGGUGGCGAAGGCGGCCCCCUGGACGAAGACUGACGCUCAGGUGCGAAAGCGUGGGGAGCAAACAGG